This 253-nucleotide ribosomal RNA is filed under the name uncultured bacterium. RNAcentral's name for it is "partial 16S ribosomal RNA". It matches the Rfam family "Bacterial small subunit ribosomal RNA", at positions 524 to 776 of the family's 1533-position model. The record is from RNAcentral.
UACGAAGGGGGCUAGCGUUGCUCGGAAUCACUGGGCGUAAAGCGCACGUAGGCGGCUUUCUAAGUCAGGGGUGAAAUCCUGGAGCUCAACUCCAGAACUGCCUUUGAUACUGGAGAGCUUGAGUCCGGGAGAGGUGAGUGGAACUCCGAGUGUAGAGGUGAAAUUCGUAGAUAUUCGGAAGAACACCAGUGGCGAAGGCGGCGCACUGGCCCGGUACUGACGCUGAUGUGCGAAAGCGUGGGGAGCAAACAGG